CCUACGGGUGGCAGCAGUGGGGAAUAUUGGACAAUGGGCGAAAGCCUGAUCCAGCCAUGCCGCGUGUGUGAAGAAGGCCUUCGGGUUGUAAAGCACUUUCAGUGGGGAAGAAAGCCUUGGGGCUAAUACCCUCGAGGAAGGACAUCACCCACAGAAGAAGCACCGGCUAACUCCGUGCCAGCAGCCGCGGUAAUACGGAGGGUGCGAGCGUUAAUCGGAAUUACUGGGCGUAAAGCGCGCGUAGGCGGUCUGAUAAGCCGGUUGUGAAAGCCCCGGGCUCAACCUGGGAACGGCAUCCGGAACUGUCAGGCUAGAGUGCAGGAGAGGAAGGUAGAAUUCCCGGUGUAGCGGUGAAAUGCGUAGAGAUCGGGAGGAAUACCAGUGGCGAAGGCGGCCUUAUGGACUGACACUGACGCUGAGGUGCGAAAGCGUGGGUAGCAAACAGGAUUAGAUACCCGUGUAGUC
RNAcentral lists this ribosomal RNA (465 nucleotides) under Vreelandella stevensii. RNAcentral describes it as "partial 16S ribosomal RNA". It matches the Rfam family "Bacterial small subunit ribosomal RNA", at positions 338 to 795 of the family's 1533-position model. The record is from RNAcentral. Lineage: Bacteria; Pseudomonadati; Pseudomonadota; Gammaproteobacteria; Oceanospirillales; Halomonadaceae.